This 679-nucleotide ribosomal RNA is filed under the name uncultured Oligohymenophorea. Its description in RNAcentral is "eukaryotic LSU rRNA". It matches the Rfam family "Eukaryotic large subunit ribosomal RNA", at positions 1 to 678 of the family's 3401-position model. Lineage: Eukaryota; Ciliophora; Oligohymenophorea. The record is from RNAcentral.
UCUGCACCUGAAAUCAAGCAAGACCACCCGCUGAACUUAAGCAUAUCAGUAAGCGGAGGAAAAGAAACUAACAAGGAUUGCCUCAGUAGUGGCGAACGAAGCGGCAAAAGCUCAAAAUGAAAAUCCGCGGUCGAAAGGUCGUGGAGUUGUAAAUUAUAGAAUCAUGCAGAAACGUAGACGGUCGCAUAAGCCUCUGGAAAGUGGCGCCAAAGAGGGUGAUAGCCCCGUACUCGGCGAUCAGUCUGGUGUAUGCAUGGUUUCGAAGAGUCGUGCUGAUUGGGAUUUCAGCACAAAUUGGGAGAUAAACUUCUUCUAAAGCUAAAUAUUUAUGGGAAACCGAUAGCGAACAAGUACUGCGAAGGAAAGAUGAAAAGAACUUUGAAAAGAAGGUUAAAAGACUUGAAAUCGUUGAAAAGGAAGCGGUAGGAGAAAUGCAUUGGUGUGGCGUUUGCUGUCUUGCGGUUUGCUGCGUGUCGUAAGUACUUAAUCGGCUUGCGGUGCGUAAACAGGCUACAAAGCGGCUUUUUCACAUCAUAAGUCAAGAUGAGGUCUGGUUCUGUGAAUACCUUCGCUGGAUGAAUGACAGUGUCGAAAGACAGAACCGGGCCUGAGGGUGCAAUGCGAUCUUGGCGAAACAGCUUCUACUGACCCGUCUUGAAACACGGACCAAGGAGUCUAA